AUGAUAUCGCAAUGGGUAAAGACUUGGAAAUUGGAGUAUCUAGCAAUCCAGAUUUACAACAUGACUGUCAAUGUGAGAAUUUUUCUCCCCACCCCACAAGCAAAAGGCAAAGCAAAAUUUCUGAGAUGGAUAUUAAGCCACUUGCGAAUGGGAAGUUGGAACACAACAACAAAAAUAUAUGUACCAAACUGAGGGACGGAACUCGGAAAACGGCUGGUGCAGAUACCAAUUCUGUCAACCAACAUGUUGAAAACAAAAAAAUUGGUGGUUCAAAUGGUCCUGACGUCUUGCAACUCAAAGAUAAAUCAUGCUGUGAUUCUGGAGAGUUGCGAUCUCUUCAGUUAGCUUUAGAAGGGCUGAAAAGAGUGAGAGACAGUGGAAAUGCUGUGAAUGAUGAUUGUAAUGUUUUACGGCAUUCAGAUUUGUCAGCAUUCUCAAAAUAUAUAUUUUGCAGAUACAAUACUGCCUGUUCUGCUAAUCAGGGUCCCACGGGGAAUGUCGGUAGUUGUUCUCCACUUGAUAAUAGCUCAGUUGCAAUGAAGACAGAGACCAUGCAUAAUAUUCCAUUUCAUUUAACAGAUGUUCUCAAUCAGCAGUCUAAUGGCAGUAGCAACAAUAUUGACAUGGCUUCCACAGCUAAAAAUGUUAACCCUAAUCCAGAAGCUUUUAAUGACAAGUCAGAGUCCACAACAGCUUUCAAAUCAUUUCACUCUUCUGCCUUCCAGCCUGUGCAGAAUGGCCUUACUUGUUCUCCUCAGCUAGUGAUACCUGGGAAGGUUGAAGGUGUGGGGUCUAACUCUGUUCCUGCUCCAUUUAUGGGUACCCAACAGCAGGUUCAAGUCCAACACCACUACCGCCACUGCCACCACCACCAUUAUCACCAUCAUGUGCACAAUAUUCAGCAGCAUCAAUCAUUGGCAGACCUUGAUGAUAUCUCACUGAAGAAUAUGGCAGCAUUUACUCCACAAUGUGGAUCAUCAAAUGUGGUUGGAGGGAAAAUCAAAGGCAAUGCUGGAAACUACGGCAUGAAUGGGAGUGUCUCAGGGAGUAACCGUGGCAGUACUGGGCAAAAUGGAAGCAGCACUGUUUUGAAUAAUGUACUAACAAACAUAGAAAGUGCCAAUAGGGAAGCUGGAAAUAGUGGAGCAGGUGGCACAAGUGGGAGAAUCAGUGCGAAUGUAGUAGAUGAAGAUCGCAUUGCACAAAGAGAGGCUGCAUUGUCUAAGUUUCGCCAAAAGAGGAAAGAAAGAUGUUUUGAGAAAAGGGUCCGAUACCAGCGCAGGAAAAGAUUGGCAGAACAGCGACCUCGUGUCAAGGGACAAUUUGUUCGGCAGACAAUGUCUGAAUCUAUAAUAGGAAGGGAUUGCCGAAGCAAUGACCUCACUUCUGAAGACAACUCUUGUGCUAGUAUAAGAUAGCAGCAGAACGAAUGCAUGUUGCUAACCCAACCCUAGUCCCCGCCUCGCAUUUGGUUUUGUGAACAUGAGACUAGCAAUAGCUGUGUACGCGGGGAGCGGGUUCCAGGUUGUACUGGAGGAGACUUUCAGAGGUCGGUGGAGAGCUCUUUUGCCUGGGACAACCAACAUCCCCGAAGGUGAAAAGUGUACUCCAAUGGCAGGUCUAAUCAGGCUCAACCUAUUUUUCUCUCAAAAUUGAGGACCUUAAUGAGUUAUCCACAAACAUUUUCCUGCUUCUUGAGCAUUGAGAAAGAAGCAGCAUAAUUGCAAUCAGUAAUGAAUAGACCACCGUACAAACAAGAAUCAAGAAUGUGAUCAGUGUUCAAUGAGCCCAACAACCAUGUUAGAAAGGCCUAACUUGGACGGACAUCAUCAUUCAAUUCAUUUUCUUUUACAUAAAUCAAAAUUCUUAAAGAAAAAAAAAAUGAUUAACUAAAAUUUAAUUAUUUAAAUUAUAAAAUAAAUCGAUAAAUAGCAGCUCUUCAUCA
Hevea brasiliensis (rubber tree) is the source of this 1945-nucleotide RNA transcript. It is a transcript of the gene named two-component response regulator-like PRR37, with no coding region annotated. The record is from RefSeq and is a predicted model, not a curated record. The transcript is spliced from 6 exons. NCBI's taxonomy places the organism in Eukaryota, Viridiplantae, Streptophyta, Magnoliopsida, Malpighiales, Euphorbiaceae.